UGGAGGAGGCCACUAGAUGUUAUAAGCUGAGCAGUGGAGGAGGCUCUGAGAUGGAGGAGGCCACUAGAUGUUAUAAGCUGAGCAGUGGAGGAGGCUCUGAGAUGGAGGAGGCCACUAGAUCCAAAGAACAGGAAACCUUUGGGUUGAGAACAAAACAAGUUGACAGUUUCAGCAGUUUUGUCCCUUAUAAAUCCCCUUCUUUGUGGCAAAAAAAUAAAAAGAGAGAGAUUAAAAGCAACAAUACAAAAAGGCAGAAAUAAUUUAUAAUGCUUCAACUACACAUGAAACUAACUACUACAUGAGAUACAAAACUAAAUCAGAAACAAACAGACCUGCGAAACAGUUACCUUCAUAGACACACAGCUGAACUAACAAACAGACGUGGACACGUGUCUAAAAGCCUCAUACUAUCUGUUAAUUUUUAUCUCUCAUUAUUCUACUCCCUUUAGAUAAUAUAAUUACUUCCAGAAUGGAACAUACAGAGUUCCCUCACUUAUUCGCUCUUUGCGGAUUCACUGUUUUGCGGUUUUUCAAUAACCUCUAAAAGACGACUAUAAAUAAUAAAAAAUUACAAUGUACAGCCUAAGGAAGGGAGGAAGGAGAUGCCGAAGGGAGAGAAAAGGAGCCCAAGCGGCAACAAGAGGAGAAGGAGGCGAUUGAUCAACACAUGAUUUCUUGAUAAAGACUUAAAAUAGUGUAUAACUACUAAAAUAAUGUAUAAAUAUAUAGCAUCCCUACUUUGCGGAUUUUCAUUUAUUGUGGGUGGUCCUGGAACCUAACCCCCGGGAUAAGUGAGGGAACACUGUAUUUUAGUUCAAUCUUUCUACAAUACACCACAUGUGAUGAAAUGUCCCAACUUUGAGCCUGCAUUUCCAAAAUUGGCAAGAGUUGCUUUUGUACAUGUUAGAAUGACACUCUGAGGUCAAUUAACAUCAUUCUCUCCAGGGUGAAUUCUAUGACGUCUAUGUAUAAUGUUAUUCAGUGAAAAGCUCUGUCCACACUCCAGGCAUUUCUGUGGUUUCUCCCCAGUGUGAGUCUUUUGAUGUGAACGUAAAGUUCCACUCUGAGCAAAGCUCUGUCCACACUCCAGGCAUUUAUAAGGUUUCUCCCCAGUGUGAAUCCUUUGAUGUAAAUGUAAGUGUCCCUUCUGAGUAAAGCUCUGUCCACACUCAAGGCAUGUAUAGGGUUUCUCUCCAGUGUGAGUCCUUUGAUGUGAAUGUAAGUGUCCCUUCUGAGCAAAGCUCUGUCCACACUCCUUGCAGUUAUAGGGUUUUUCCCCAGUGUGAGUCCUUUGAUGUGAAUGUAGACCUGAACUCUGAGUGAAGCUCUGUCCACACUCAAGGCAAUUAUAGGGUUUCUCCCCACUGUGAGUCCUUUGAUGUGAAUGUAAACUGAACUAUGAGUGAAGCUCUGUCCACACUCCAGGCAGUUAUAGGGAUCUCCCCCAGUGUGAGUCCGUUG
This 1461-nucleotide long non-coding RNA is filed under the name Anolis carolinensis (green anole). RNAcentral describes it as "lncRNA (ENSACAG00000041555.1)". Lineage: Eukaryota; Metazoa; Chordata; Lepidosauria; Squamata; Anolidae. The record is from RNAcentral.